This 2656-nucleotide long non-coding RNA is filed under the name Sus scrofa (pig). Its description in RNAcentral is "lncRNA (ENSSSCG00035049923.1)". The record is from RNAcentral. Lineage: Eukaryota; Metazoa; Chordata; Mammalia; Artiodactyla; Suidae.
ACUACCACAUGAUCCAUCAAUCCCACUGCUGGGCAUAUAUCUGGACAAAAUUACAGUCCAAAAAGAAACAUACAUCCCUACGUUCAUAGCAGCACUAUUAUCAAUAGCCAAGGAGGCAACCUAAAUGUCUAUCAACAGAGGAAUAAAUUAAGAUGAUGUGAUACAUACACAAUGGAAUACUACUCAGCCAAAAAAAACAAAAUAAUGCCAUUUGCAGCCACAUAGAUACAGCUAAAGAUUCUCAUACUAAGUGAAGUAAGUCAGAAAGAGAAAGACAAAUACAAUACAAUAUCACUUAUAUAUGGAAUCUAAAAUGUGGCACAAAUGAACCCAUCUGCAGAACAGAAUCAGACUCAUAGACAUAGAAAACAGGCUUGUGGUUAUCAAAGGGAAAAGGGGAGGGAGUGGGAUGGACUGGGAGCAUGGGGUUUGUAGAUUCGAACUAUUACAUUUAGAAUGGAUAAGCAAUGAAGUCCUACUUUACAGCACAGGGAACCAUAUCCAGUGUCUUGGAUAGAACAUGAUGGAAGACAAUAUGAGAAAAAAAUAUAUAUGUAUGUAUGACUGGGUCACAUUGCUGUAUAGCAGAAAUUGAAACAACAUUGUAAAUCAACUAUAUACUUUAAUAUAAAUAUAAAUUAAUGAAUAAAAUACUUCAUAAUUUGUACUUUAAUAAAAAUACAAAUCAAUGAAUAAAAAUAAAGUAAAAUGUAGCAGUCAGCUGCGAAUGUGUCUGUUUUUUUUGUUUUUUGGUUUUUUUCUCAAUGAAUUUAUCCAUUUAUAGUUGUACAGUGAUCAUCACAGUCCAAUUUUAUAGGAUUUCCAUCCCACAACCCCAGCACAUUCCCCCACCCCUGAAACUGUCUCCUUUGGAAACUAUAAGUUUUUCAAAGUCAGUGAGUCAGUAUCUGUUCUGCAAAGUUCAUUCUGUCCUUUUCUCAGAUUCUACAUGUCAGUGAAAGCAUUUGAUGUUGGUGUCUCACUGUAUGGCUGACUUCACUUAGCAUGAUAAUUUCUAGGUCCAUCCAUGUUGCUAAAAAUAAUGUGCAUGUUUGACCUCUGGCCUGUUACAGUAGGUUAAGGAUCCAACAUUGCCUAGGUUGCAGUCUGUGGCUUGGAUUCAAUUCUUGGCCCAGGAAUUUCUGUGUGCCAUUGGUGCAGCCAUAAAAUGAAAAUAAAAUUAAUAAAUAACUGAAAGGUAGGAGUCAUCCUCAAACUUAAUGUCAGACAUCAUUGGUCCCAGAAAAUUAUCUGUCAUUAUCUGCUGAUUAUAAAUCUCCUUGGGCUCAGACUUUAUAUCAUAUUUCUAGGGUUUUUCUUUAUCUUUGGAUUCUUUGGUCAUAACCCUUGCUGUCUUUAUCCCUAGGAUGCUCAUUUUCCAUCUCCAAAGCAAAGCUUUCCUUGGGAUAUUCUGAACUCUGCUAUCUUUAUUUUGUAGGCUAUACCCUGAAGGUCUCACCAUUUAUAUUCAAAGAGACUAUCUAGGUAUUUUCCACAUGAAUUAUGAAUUCCAAAUGAAUUAUAAGUUCCAAAUGAAUUUCUAAGUGAAAAGAAUUAUUACCCUUUCUUAGUAUUCUGAAUAUGCUUCAGUAGGUUUUAGCAUAAAAUACUAAUUUUUUUCUUCAUACCACUCGUGGAAAAUAUUAAAUCACCCUAUGCACCUAGUAGAUUAAAUAUUGAGGAAGUCUUUUUAACCCAAGUAUAUAUCAAAUGCUGCAGCCAUAAUUUUAUAUUUAUUGCUACAUAUAUAUAAGAAAAUGCAUAACUAUAUCAGCUAUGCAUAUAACAACAUUUUGUGGACCUCAUAUUCCACCAAGAGCUAGCAAAAAGGGAAAUAUUUGUGGUAGAGGUUUUGCCCUUUAGGAUCUACUAAAAAGGCAGCCAGGUGAUGAGCAGGAAGAGAAACCUGGCAUAUAAUGAUGUGGGAAGGAAAGUGAUGCAAUGCCCCAAUAAGAACUUUUUUUCAGAAAAGUAGGAAAGUUCUGGUAACAAUAGAGGGAGAAGCAAUAAGAGUUUUUUGACAGAAGAGAAAGACAGUGGCAGGUGUGAGCAAUGACAACAUUUGUGUGGGGGUGGAGAGCAGCAGGUGUGUAGACAAAAAGAAAAACAGUGACAAGGAAGCAAAAGUCAGGGCAGCUCUCUAAGUUUCUGGGCAGGAGCAAGCCUGGGUGGAGGUAGGGAAGGCAGGAGGCCCAGAGAAGGAAGAGCAGCAAGGUCAGGUUGUCUCAAUGCUCCCUUUGUAGGGCAAGGUAUUGUCUUGUUCCAUUUAUGCAUCUAUUAAUUGAAAGAGGGUUGGAUUGAGUGGCAUAUUCCAGAUGCAGGGCCAUUCUGUGGCAUAGCUCUCUCAAUGAAGGGCUUCCAAAACAGUUUUAGCACUAUAGAGAUCAAGCACUUUAAAGGUUCAUUUGAGAUGUGUGAGUGUGUGUCUAUGUGUGUGUUUUUUUGGAAGUGGGGGCCAGUCAUUGUCAUAUGCUCUAGAAUUAUUAGCCUAGGAGAACUCAGGACAUCAGACUGUGGUGGCAGCCUCAGGCCUGCAUCCUGUAGAAUACAAGGGUAGAAUCCACACAUUUGCAGCAAGCCCAAACGUCUCUUUUGUUUUUAAUUUUCUCUUCUUUGUAAAAGCAAAGAAAAAAAAAUUACUGUGCUCUCCUACUGU